UGCCUCCCCUGUAAAACUCUGGGGGCGCGCCCACGGACCUCCUUUCCGUCCACGCACCUGCCCGCCGGACGUCCAACCGUUUUGUGGAGCGCAAAACUGAGACCUGGAAGCUCUUCCCCCAUCCCAGAGACUAAGGACUUGAAAAGAACGCGAUCACGAUACCCUUACCCCACCUUACCGAAUUGAGAAUAAUUCCGCCUGCAGUGACUGAUGGAGCAGGAACAAGGCACUGCGGAUCUAGCGAGGGCCAGAUACUCCUUACCGGUCCCAGGCCCCUGGAAAACUGUGAUUGAAGCCUGUCCUUCCAGGAAAAUGCGCCCACAGGAUUCCGGGGGUUUGAUUUCACUUCUCACCGGCCGCCUGAACCCAACUCUUCUCCACUUUCUGGAAGUCUCGCUUGUCCAGGACGACCGGUCUACCGCCUCCCCGUCCUGACGGGCGGCCACGAUGAAGCUGGACCCACCGGUCCCGGCACAGAAUGUGGCACGUGUCGGACAAGGAUUUUUGAACUGAGUUUAGAACAGGGAUUCUAACUCUGUUUUUCUGCUCAGGUUUUAAGUGGGCUAAGCACUUAGUUCUCAGAUGAUUUCUAGGUUGCUGGUAACGCACCGUAAGUGUCAGGGAGAAGAGACUUGGCUGGCAGCCCUUUCUCAGAUGUUCCAAGCAAACAUGCAAACGGUUCUCAAACCUUAGCCUGGUCUCAAUGCCCGUCUUCCCUGAAAGCUGUUUUCGCUUUAUAACCACAGGACGUUUCAAAUCAAAUUCCAGAAAAUGCCUCGCAAUUAAAAUUUUACACUGCCUGUCGCUACGUGCCAGCUUUGCUACUGCUUUUCGUCACUGCCCAUUAUAAAUAAUGACCCUGGCAUGCGUUUUGUUACUAGAGCCAUUAACCCAACUAACCAUUCCGCUCACAUGAAACAAGCCGUGCAUCUGCUAAGGUGACUUGGUGGGUAGAUUUCUUUUUCCUUUUGUUUUUUGUUCUUUGUUUUGUUUUUUUUUUUUUCCUUCUGCAGAACCCGAGGACACACAAUAAAAUGAGCAAAUGGAAAUUUCA
RNAcentral lists this long non-coding RNA (1054 nucleotides) under Felis catus (domestic cat). Its description in RNAcentral is "lncRNA (ENSFCAG00000052450.1)". The record is from RNAcentral. Lineage: Eukaryota; Metazoa; Chordata; Mammalia; Carnivora; Felidae.